This is a long non-coding RNA of Sinocyclocheilus grahami, 1289 nucleotides long. RefSeq lists it as uncharacterized. Lineage: Eukaryota; Metazoa; Chordata; Actinopteri; Cypriniformes; Cyprinidae. The record is from RefSeq and is a predicted model, not a curated record. The transcript has 4 exons.
AAAUUCAAAUUUGACAUUCGUCACAAAAUUGAAACUACAAAACAUGAUAUUAAUGAUUUUAAACAAGGUUAAUAAUUAAUGGGGAUCUAAAUUUAUCCAUAAGAAACCAUUUUACAUGUGGUGAAUGAAGUUUGAGGUUGCGGCGGUCAUGUUCGGGUUGCGAAUUGUGAGGCGUGACGCUGAGCCCUGCAGGCACAGGCUCUACGCUUCCUCUGGGCACUGCUGCGGCCACGGUCAGACAGGUGCCGGUCAGUGCUACUGUAGUAGCCUCACAAGCUGGGAAACUUCCCACAAGGAUCACGGUGCCUCUGUCUGUCCUCAGCCAACCCUUGAAAAAUAAGAGUCUGAUCACUACUCCCAUACUUAAGGGGAACAUAAGCACCAAUAUCAGCAAUCUGGGGAGGAACAUUAUCCUGACUACCAUGCCAGCAGGCACCAAAUUGAUUGCUGGGAACAAGCCUGUCAGCUUCGUGACUGCUCAACAGCUGCAGCAGCUACAGCAGCAGGGACAGGCCACACAGGUUCGAAUCCAGACGGUACCGGCUCAGCAGCUACAGCGCACAGCCGCCAACUCUCCGAAAUCCACAGUGUCGACGGUGGUGGUCUCUACUGCACCCUCGCCAAAGACAAACCCAGACCCUCAAUGAGACCUACAAUAGUUUAAAGGCCAUAGAUCUAGCCAUUUCUCUUCAGAUUAAGAUAAAACUAAAAGAAGCAUAGACCUCAAAACAAAAAAACAAAAAAAGGAAAGAGUCUUGCUCUACUUUCCCAUGAAACUUGCAUAUGGGCAAAGCAGUGUCAGAUUCUAAGUACUGGUCUUGUCCUGACGCAGCUUUUCCUGUAACAUUGUUCCCAGCAUUUCAGUUAUAUGCUGAUUGUUGAAGUUGAAAAAGGAAGUAUGAUUUGGAUGCUGAUAUAUUGUAAGGGAAUUCAGGUCUGAUCUAUGGCUUGUAUCAGUCUAUGAUCUUGGUUCAAGUUAAUGGCCUUUCUCUAGAAGCUGUUGACAUGUACACGGGCAAGUUUGUUUAUUUGUGCUUUUUAUGUCUUAUGUUCUUCUAAAGAAAUGUAAUUUAAAAAGUACCGUUUAUAUUCUGUAGCCACUGCUUGUGUGAUGAUGAUAAAUAAAUGAUUGUGCUAAACAAAACAAAUCAAAUUUAAGAAACUGUUACAUUAGAACCAAACCGAUUCUAGGGCUUAACCCUGCAUUUAAAUUGUGUAUAUGUAAAAUAAAUACUUUGCCUGUUUUGGGCCACUUCGUUUACAUGAUGUGGUCAGUAACAUGAAUCAAA